CCCCUUUGAAGUAGAGAAACCAUAGUUAUCCUCUCUAUUCUGCUACCAUCGCCCAUAUACUAGAAUUGCUCUACUCUCUAUUCCGAUAUUAUCACUCACUGUUAUCUUACCUUUAAUAUUGUUCUUAUUCGAUUCUACCAUCUUUCUUAUUCACACCUAUUUACUUAUCUUGGUUAAGUUAGAGCGUAGAUCAGUUAUCCCGUUUCCCUGUGGAUACGAUAAAACCUUUAACCGGGUAAAAGCUUCAACGGUAUCCGUGCGCUUGCGGAUUAUCUGUGUGCGUAUAAAUACCAUAGUACACUCUAGUGCCACGCUGGGGAUGACAACCUAGUAUUCAAGUGCUGUUAGCAAGUGUCAACAAGCAUUUUUGGCGCCGUUGCCGGGGAAACGGUUGCUGAGUUGACUACGAACUAGUUUAAUCAUUUUAUAAAAAAAUAAUAAUAAUAAUAAAUAAAUAAAUAAAUAAAAUAUUUUCCUUUUAUCCUUUGCCUCAUCUCUGCUAUUCUUUCUUCUUAUCUAA
This 520-nucleotide long non-coding RNA is filed under the name Sorghum bicolor (sorghum). RNAcentral describes it as "long non-coding RNA (SBIC_LNC017761)". The record is from RNAcentral. Lineage: Eukaryota; Viridiplantae; Streptophyta; Magnoliopsida; Poales; Poaceae.